Molecule: non-coding RNA, 209 nt
Filed under: Rhodosorus marinus
Lineage: Eukaryota; Rhodophyta; Stylonematophyceae; Stylonematales; Stylonemataceae
Source: RNAcentral
GAAAAGGAGAUGUGGGGGGGAAGGGGAAGGCGGCAGAAUACUGAGACCAUCACUUUUUCCUCCCUUUUGUGGCUCUUUUCGUUUAUGGGAAAGCAGUCGCACUUGGGUUAAAAGCCGGUGUUCGCUCAAGGUGACAAGAAUCUGAACGUGUCUUUUUUUUUUUUGUUUCCUCUCCUGUCAAAGCCUGCUUUUCGUGGUGAAGGGGUGUG